CCGUUUUCCAGCGUUGAGGACCCCACCACAUGGUAAACGACUAUUUCGUAAAUCUGGGAAGAUAAACACCAAAUACUGAACAAAGUGAGUGAAAUUAAAAUCCAUAUGUGGUCAGUUCAUACCGACAACUAAUUCUAAAACCUGGUACAACUGCAAUUUGUCUCUGAUAUAUGUAUAAAGUUCCCGGUGAUUUUAUAAUUCUUAUAAUUAGGCCAAACAAAAAACAUGCGUGUUCUGAACUUUUCUACAAACAUACCUUCCUAUUUUGUAAGCGAAAAAAAGCCUACAUGAAGUUUAAUUUUUCAAGACGCAGUGUUAAAGUUAUAAUGUCCCUCCCAUAGACUCGAUCAGUCUAUGUACAUGAUGUAUAUAAAAAAUUAUAAAAAUGGUUAAAUGGGAAAAAAAUUCCUACCUACAUGUACCUAUUAAAAUAUACCCUAUCUAUUCAAAGAUGUAUCAGGAAACACACUCACAUAUUUUUUAACCUAACAAUUCUGCCAUUUAUCAAUAAGAAAUCAGCUCUAACUUGUUGUCCUGGUUUUCUGUUGGUCUCUUAUUAAACUGGUUAGUAUAAAAUAUAUAUGUUCAAAAAAGUGAAAAUUGGAAAGAAAGGAGCAGAUAUUAAGAAAAGGAUCAAGGGUCGAUGUUGCCUCAACCUUCGGGUUAAUCUGAAUUGAUGAAAUAUUUUUGCCACUUUUAUAAAACACUUAAAUCUAAGUGUCCAUACAUUCAUAGACUUUUAAUAGUACAUUGUAAUAGUUGAUUCAAUUAAUUCAUAUGAAAGAUUUUAACUCAUUUAGCUAUUUAGCUGAAAUUCAAGCUUUGAUAUGAAACAAUUAUCAAAUAUGCCAUUAUAUGUCACUUUUGAGAUGGUUUUUGUCAAAAAUGAAAACGAGUGCAUCCAUGUUAAUUCUCAACCUCUAAAUAUGUUAUGUAAAAUGUAUUGCAGCUCGAGUUAUUAUUUCAAACUGGACAGUGUUCAGCGCCAAGUAUUACAAAGUGAUUGGAUCAGAUCAAAAGAUGUAAAUCUUGAAGCACACAUUUCAACAUACAUGACAUAUGACCUAUAGAAAAAAGAGAAUAAGGAAAGACAGUGAAAAACAGGAAAUAUUUGAAAGGGUAAGCAUGGUAAACAUUUCUUUUUAAAUACAAUGUAUAGUAAUAUUCUGAUGAUGAAAUAAAUUUAUUAUAAUUUCCAUAAGGAAAUAAGCAUACCUCAUUUUAUAUUUAUCAUGUUACAAAAAAUGAAAAUCUGCUUUAGACUCAAAUAAAUUUUAUAAAAUUUCAGAUAAAUAGUGUUUGAAGUAAACAUUUCAAAGAAAAUAUAAGUUUUGUAAUUGAGUACAAAGAGUCAAUUCAUAUAACAAAAGAUGGAUGUAUAAGUACACAGCCACACGUUGGGCUGACUGAGCUUUGAUUUUAUUUUUAAUCAAAUUUGGCAAAAAUAAAAAAAUACUUGUGGCAUGAUUGCCAAUGACAUGAGUGAGAUACAUUUGUACCAGACCAGUGCAUUAGAUGAGUCAUGAAAAGUGUCUCUUGUCCUCUACAUCAGGAAUACUGAUACAAGCAUUUUUUUAUUGAAAAAAACUUGCUUACAGAAUGUGGUUUAAAGUAUAUUUAUUUCUUGGUUUUAAUUUAUAUCAAUUUCUGGUACCUUUAUAAUAUACUUUUGAUAUAUCUCCAUUUGUUUUAUUUUAAUGUUUUAUAGAUACAGCUAUUAUUUCAUAUUGGACAAUGUUCAGCAGCAAGUAUUACAUUGUGAUUUGGAUCAGAUCAAAAGAUGUUUACAUUGAAGCAUACAUUCAGAACCAUAGAAUAAAAGAGAAAAGAAAUACAGUGAAAAACAGGUAAUAUUGAAAGGGUAAACAUUCUUGUUUAAAUAUGAUAGACUUAUUAAGAUAAUUUCUAUCCGGAAAUAAGUAUACCUCAUUUCAUAUUUAUUGCUACAAAAUUUGCUUUACAAUCAAAUAAAUUGUAUAAAAUUUCAGAUAAAUUGUUUAGAAGUAAACAAUACAAAGAAAAAAUAAGUUCGGUAAUUGAGUAAGAGUCAAUUCAUACACAAAGAGGGAUGUAUAAGUACGCAGCAGCCACACGUUGGGCUGACUGAGCUUUGAUUUUAAUCAAAUUUGGCCAUUUUCUUUCAAAUAUUUUACAAUAAUAAAAGAGUACUUGUGGCAUGAUUGCCAAUGACAUGAGUGAGAUACAUUUGUACCAGACCAGUGCAUUAGAUGAGUCAUGAAAAGUGUCUCUUGUCCUCUACAUCAGGAAUACUGAUACAAGCAUUUUUUUAUUGAAAAAACUUGCUUACAGAUUGUGGUUUAAAGUAUAUUUAUUUCUUAGUUAUAAUGUAUAUCAGUUUCUGGUACCUUUAUAAUAUACUUUUGAUAUGUCUCCAUUUGUUUUAUUUUAAUGUUUUAUAGAAACAGCUUUUAUUUCGUAGUGGACUAUGUUCAGCGGCAAGUAUUACAAUGUGAUUUGGAUCAGAUCAAAAGAUGUUUACAUUGAAGCAUACAUUCCGACCAAUAGAAUAAAGAGAAAAAGAUGAUACAGUGAAAAACAGGAAAUAUUUGAAAGGGUAAACAUUUCUUUUUUAAAUAUGAUAGACUUAUUAUGAUAAUUUCCAUCCGGAAAUUAGUAUACCUCAUUUCAUAUUUAUUGUUACAAAAUUUGCUUUACAAAUAAAUUCUAUAAAAUUUCAGAUAAAUAGUGUUUGAAAUAAACAAUACAAAGAAAAACUAAGUUCGGUAAUUGAGAACAAAGAGUCAAUUCAUAUAACAAAAGAGGGAUGUAUAUGUACGUAGCCACACAUUGGGCUGACUGAGCUUUAAUUUAUUCAAAUUUGGCAACUUUCUUUCAAAUAUUUUACAAUAAUAAAAGAGAACUUGUGGCAUGAUCGCCAAUGAGAUAACUUUGUACAAGAGAUCAAAGUGCAUUAGAUGAGUACUUUAAAGUGUCUCUUGUCCUCUACAUCAGGAAUACUGAUACCAGCAUUUUUUUAUUAGAAAAUACUUACUUACAGAUUGUUGUUUAAAGUAUAUUUAUUUCUUAGUUAUAAUUUAUAUCAAUUUCUGGUACCUUUAUAAUCAGUGAUAUUGUUGUCUUUUUUCAAAACUACCUCUACCGUUUUUUAUUGGGAAAAUUGCAUAUUUUUUAUUGAAAUUUUUGUAUAUUUUUGAUUCUAAACACAUCUCCGAUUUUGUGCUGACCUUUGCUGUCUUUUUUGCAGUUUUUUUCAUGUAUAUUUUGGUUGUCCGACAUUUUCAACCUGAAAGGUACUUUUCGGAGAGGGGAGUGAAACCAAAACAAUGAUGGUACUUAAUGCAUUGAAAACCAUGUGUCUUACAAACACCAUGAUGAUUCUGAUCAGAAAACUGGAUCUCAAAAGUGCUUUCUAAUAUCAAAAUAAUAACAUGAAUACGAAAUUUACAAACAUUACUACCAAUGCCAUCACUGUUUUGGGAAAAUGUAAAAAAUUUUGGGAGGAAUUUUAAGCCAUUUUUUUUAGUAAUUGGGAAUUUUCUCUAGGGGAAAAAGCCGAAUUUCGGCUGUAAUUUGAGGCAAACAAUAUCACUGAUAAUAUACUUUUGAUAUAUCUCCAUUUGUUUUAUUUUAAUGUUUUAUAGAUACAGCUAUUAUUUCAUAUUGGACAAUGUUCAGCGGCAAGCAUUACAUUGUGAUUUGGAUCAGAUCAAAAGAUGUGGACAUUAAAGCAUACAUUAGGAACCAUAGAAUAAAGAGAAAAAGAAAUUACAGUGAAAAACAGGAAAUAUUUGAAAGGGUA
Molecule: long non-coding RNA, 3781 nt
Filed under: Mytilus galloprovincialis (Mediterranean mussel)
Lineage: Eukaryota; Metazoa; Mollusca; Bivalvia; Mytilida; Mytilidae
Source: RNAcentral